AGAGUUUGAUCAUGGCUCAGGACGAACGCUGGCGGCACGCUUAACACAUGCAAGUCGAACGAGAGAAGAGGAGCUUGCUUUUCUGAUCUAGUGGCGGACGGGUGAGUAACACGUGAGCAAUCUGCCUUUCAGAGGGGGAUACCGAUUGGAAACGAUCGUUAAUACCGCAUAACAUAAUUGAACCGCAUGAUUUGAUUAUCAAAGAUUUAUCGCUGAAAGAUGAGCUCGCGUCUGAUUAGCUAGUUGGUAAGGUAACGGCUUACCAAGGCGACGAUCAGUAGCCGGACUGAGAGGUUGAUCGGCCACAUUGGGACUGAGACACGGCCCAGACUCCUACGGGAGGCAGCAGUGGGGAAUAUUGCACAAUGGAGGAAACUCUGAUGCAGCGAUGCCGCGUGAGGGAAGAAGGUUUUAGGAUUGUAAACCUCUGUCUUCAGGGACGAAAAAAGACGGUACCUGAGGAGGAAGCUCCGGCUAACUACGUGCCAGCAGCCGCGGUAAUACGUAGGGAGCGAGCGUUGUCCGGAAUUACUGGGUGUAAAGGGAGCGUAGGCGGGAUCGCAAGUAAGAUGUGAAAACUAUGGGCUUAACCCAUAAACUGCAUUUGAAACUGUGGUUCUUGAGUGAAGUAGAGGUAAGCGGAAUUCCUAGUGUAGCGGUGAAAUGCGUAGAUAUUAGGAGGAACAUCAGUGGCGAAGGCGGCUUACUGGGCUUUAACUGACGCUGAGGCUCGAAAGCGUGGGGAGCAAACAGGAUUAGAUACCCUGGUAGUCCACGCCGUAAACGAUGAUUACUAGGUGUGGGGGGACUGACCCCUUCCGUGCCGCAGCAAACGCAAUAAGUAAUCCACCUGGGGAGUACGACCGCAAGGUUGAAACUCAAAGGAAUUGACGGGGGCCCGCACAAGCAGUGGAGUAUGUGGAUUAAUUCGAAGCAACGCGAAGAACCUUACCAGGUCUUGACAUCGUAUGCAUAGCUCAGAGAUGAGUGAAAUCUCUUCGGAGACAUAUAGACAGGUGGUGCAUGGUUGUCGUCAGCUUGUGUCGUGAGAUGUUGGGUUAAGUCCCGCAACGAGCGCAACCCCUAUUGUUAGUUGCUACGAAAGAGCACUCUAGCGAGACUGCCGUUGACAAAACGGAGGAAGGCGGGGACGACGUCAAAUCAUCAUGCCCCUUAUGUCCUGGGCUACACACGUAAUACAAUGGUGGCCAACAGAGGGAAGCGAAGCCGUGAGGCAGAGCAAAUCCCUAAAAGCCAUCUCAGUUCGGAUUGCAGGCUGCAACUCGCCUGCAUGAAGCUGGAAUUGCUAGUAAUCGCGGAUCAGCAUGCCGCGGUGAAUACGUUCCCGGGCCUUGUACACACCGCCCGUCACACCAUGAGAGUCGGGAACACCCGAAGUCCGUAGUCUAACCGCAAGGGGGGCGCGGCCGAAGGUGGGUCCGGUAAUUGGGGUGAAGUCGUAACAAGGUA
Molecule: ribosomal RNA, 1470 nt
Filed under: metagenome
Description: bacterial SSU rRNA
Rfam family: Bacterial small subunit ribosomal RNA
Source: RNAcentral